GUCCAGCUAGCUCAGUCAGUAGGGCAUGGGACUCUUAAUCCUAUGGUCUCAGGUUCAAGCCCCACAUUGGGCG
RNAcentral lists this transfer RNA (73 nucleotides) under Erinaceus europaeus (western European hedgehog). It matches the Rfam family "tRNA". From Rfam's summary of the family: Transfer RNA (tRNA) molecules are approximately 80 nucleotides in length. Their secondary structure includes four short double-helical elements and three loops (D, anti-codon, and T loops). Lineage: Eukaryota; Metazoa; Chordata; Mammalia; Eulipotyphla; Erinaceidae. The record is from Rfam by way of RNAcentral.